UUGUGGAGGAGGACGCCGAAGGUGGGGCUAAUGACUGGGGUGAAGUCGUAACAAGGUAGCCGUACCGGAAGGUGCGGCUGGAUCACCUCCUAACAGGGAGACAACAAAAUGUUUAAUAUUAUUUUGUCACCUUAGGUCGAUCGGUAUCUCACGUUCUUAAAUUAAUUAAGAAUUUCAUUUUCUAAGUUUUUCUAGGUCACACCCAUUAUUUUUCCUGGGCCAUUAGCUCAGGUGGUUAGAGCGCACCCCUGAUAAGGGUGAGGUCCCUGGUUCAAGUCCAGGAUGGCCCAUAUCUCUAUGUUGGGGGUAUAGCUCAGUUGGUAGAGCGCCUGCUUUGCAAGCAGGAUGUCAGCGGUUCGAGUCCGCUUACCUCCACUGAUUACCACCUCUUCCAUAAUUUGUAGAAAGGAAAGGUUUUGAGUUGUGAUCAAUUUCUGAACGAAUCUAGCUUCCUAAUGAAUUCAUUAAGAUGCUGGACUCAUUGAAUUAAUUUCAUUGAUCUCAGAGAACCUUGACAACUGCAUAGAUUUUUUUUGAAGACAAUAAGCAUCUUUAAUGAUGCAGAUUUAUUAUUUGUGCGAAUGCAUUAAUAACAAUUCUAUUAAGCUGAUGCUUCAAUAUUGAAGUUAUUGGUCAAGCUACAA
This 644-nucleotide unclassified non-coding RNA is filed under the name uncultured Prochlorococcus sp. RNAcentral describes it as "partial 16S-23S ribosomal RNA intergenic spacer; may also contain 16S ribosomal RNA and 23S ribosomal RNA". The stretch from base 303 to 375 matches the Rfam family "tRNA". The record is from RNAcentral. Lineage: Bacteria; Bacillati; Cyanobacteriota; Cyanophyceae; Synechococcales; Prochlorococcaceae.